Molecule: long non-coding RNA, 513 nt
Organism: Macadamia integrifolia
Lineage: Eukaryota; Viridiplantae; Streptophyta; Magnoliopsida; Proteales; Proteaceae
Exons: 4
Source: RefSeq, a predicted model, not a curated record
CUUCCUUCUUCUGCAUUGACUGUCUGUCAAUGUUUUAGAUUUCAAUGAAUAGUUCUUCCUCAUGAAAUUCUUUUUCUAGCUUGAAUUUAUCAGAACCUUGCAAAUGUUUGACAACAGAGGAGAUGGAAGAUCACUAUUUUCAAAGGCUUGAUCAGACACAUGAAGCAAAAUAUAAAAGCAUUUACUAUCGGAUCAAUGAUUUACCAGGUCCAGGAAAAUACGGGGAGAUUUAUAAAUGUCCAGCCAUCAAUUGAAGAGAGUAGGUAGGGAGAAAUGGCCCAUUUCAGAAUGAGGCAAGCAAAUGGAUGAGCUCUUCUGAAUGAAGUGGUGGACCAAAGGCAAUCAAUGAGACAAGCUCUUCUGAAUGGAGUGGUGGACAAAAGGCAAUCAAAUUGAUGGGAUCUUAUGUAUUAGAAUUUACUUGAAAAAAAUACUUACAGCCAGUGAUGUUGGUGAAGUACUUCCCGCUAGCUCAAAAAAAACUUGGAGCUUUCGAUAUUGUUAUUGGAAAAG